UAAGUCACUAGGGGGUGCUAUUUUAGCUGAGACAUACCCUUUGAACUUGAACAAGGUAAUGCUUGCGAAAGGAAAGUGCAAUACUAGAAG
Molecule: non-coding RNA, 90 nt
Organism: Lactobacillus sp. ASF360
Lineage: Bacteria; Bacillati; Bacillota; Bacilli; Lactobacillales; Lactobacillaceae
Source: Rfam